Molecule: non-coding RNA, 2882 nt
Organism: Phalacrocorax carbo (great cormorant)
Lineage: Eukaryota; Metazoa; Chordata; Aves; Suliformes; Phalacrocoracidae
Source: RefSeq, a predicted model, not a curated record
UGCCACCUGCCAAUAGAAAGCAUAAACUAAAGUGAGCUGCUUUCUCUUGCGAGGGAAAUGACAAGCACAACCACGACUACAGUUCUCCCAUUUUAUAGAAGAUAUUUUUUCCCCAAUUCUUCCCCGAAUAACCCAAUUCUUUCCUCAGUUCAUUCUACAAUAAAAACAUAAUGACACAUCCAAGUUUGCCUUCAAAGGAAGCGUAAAGUUACAGACACAGUAGUAAAGCUACAUCUGCUGGACAGAGCACUGUGGGACAUGGGGCAGAAUGAUCCCGUGUGAAGGAGCUCCAAGAUGCGACGGCUGCCUGCCAGCACAAAAGAUCCGUUUCCCACCCUUAACCACAGCUGAAACGUUCCUUCGCAGGAACCCUGCACACGAGGCACUCGGAACAUUCAGACGCUGCCAUCUCUUACCGCUGCCUGAAAUCCUCUCAGAUUCGGUGUCAGCACAGGAUAACUAAUACCAGGUAACUUAUUAAUUCCUUGCAUGACUUCAGUAUGGUCCGCCAUCUGCAAAGUAAACAAGGAAAGGUUUCUAAGGGUGACAACAUCCAUGCCUGCAAAUUAUAAAAUAAUUUUUAAAAUUUAUUUUUAGGAACUGGAGCAGCAAUAUUUAGGAAUAAGAGAAACGGGCCUCUAAAGAGCAAACAGCAUUGCACCCUGUGAAGGAUCAUAGUUCAGUCACCCAGCCAAGCCAGUGCCAACACGCACACAACCAGCUGUUUGUAUUGGAGCUGUAUGUUUGCUCUUUUGCAAGGUCCAAAGGGAAGGUCUGGGAUACUGCAAGCCCUUUUAUUUGGCUUUGCUGCUUCUUGCCCAGUUAUAAGUCACAGUAAUAAGGGUUUUGGAGCAAGCAAAAUAUUUUAUUGGAUUACUAUCUAUUAUUAGGCGUUUUUGUAAUAUACAAUUGUAACGCUCGUUUGCAUACUGACCUGAGGAACCCAUUUGGGGGAAACAAAGCUGGUGGCCUCUAUAACCUGAAGCCCCGUCUCUGACAGCAUAUUGAUUAGAUUGAUUUUCACCGGUGUCGGUACAACAUUCUGAGAAGAAGAGGAAAACGACCUUAGGUUGUUGUUUUCACAACAAACUUUUCCACCAACGCAAAACCCCCUUAUCUUUCAACAUCAAAAAGCGGCAUUAAAAAAACAAAACAAAACAAAACAACAUAAACCAGCCCGUCGGUGGGGCACAGCGGCACGUUACGGGUGUUUGGUUAGGGAAGGGCCCCCGCCCCUACCUUCUCGUUCUGCAGCCCGUCCCGCGGCCCCACCUCCACCACCUUCACACGCUUCGGGAAGGCUCCGGCCGCCGCGGCGCUGACCUGGGGACAGAGAGGGAGGGUCAGCCCAGCUCAGCCCCGCCCCGCCGCUCCCGGUCCCGGUCCCGCUCCCGGUCCCGCUCCCCCCCAGCCCCGCUCACCGGCCGCAGCGACACAGCCCAGCGCGGCAACAGCCGCCGCGCCGCCGCCAUGUCGGCCCGCUCUCACGUGACCACACCCACCACCACGUGACCCAAUCGGGGGGUGUGGCUUCGUGGUCACGUGGCAGCCGCGGUGCCGCGCUCUCCGCGUGGAGCCGGGACCGGGACCGGGACCGGGUCCGGGGCCAUCGUCCAUCCCCGCACCCCCCCCCCCCCCCCCCGGGCCCUCGCCGCCCGCCCCGGAGCGCCGCCGCGGGACCGGGGGAGCCGCCGCUCGUACCUGUCCCCGCGGGCCGUCCCGCGGCAGCGGCCCCGUGGCGCACUGCGGCAUGUUUCCGUCCCGGGACACCGGCACUGAGCGGCCCCUCGGGAGCCGCUUACUUAUACCGCGGCUUUUCCGCUGGCUCCGGUCGCUGAAUAAACACGGCGUGUUUGUUUUGGCCGGGCACCCUCCCCGCGCCAGAGGUUCCCGGCGUGACGGGGUUGGGAGGCAAAAAGGCCAUCGCUCUGGUGUCCCUUUUUUUUUUCCCCUCUCUGUGUUCGUAACGGCGUCAUCGCCAGCGCCGGGGGGAUGCUGCCGUAGGUAAGCAGGGCUCUGGCAGCCAGCGCCAGUUCUCUGAAGUCCACGCAGAUUCGUCAGUACAGAUAAUUAUUUGCCAAUUGAGUAACAGCUCCUACAGCACCGGCUGAGCACAUGUCCCAGCCCUGGGGCUCAGCGUGCGCUAAACCCCAAGUGUUCUACCAACUUUCGCUUGCACCACAUCGUACAGCAACAAAAUACAGCCUGCGUGCAACGUCGAGGGGCCUUCACAACAACGGCGCUGCAGAAACGCGCGCCAUCAUGAGGAGUUUCAUCAUUUAAGUACGUACUGUUCAACCCUUUCUAAAGGAGUUCAACGUCAAUGCAGGAAACCUUGUUUCACAAACGGUAGAAGUCAGAGGCUCAGUUCAGAACGGUGGCUUCUCUGUUGAAGUCACUUAAGAGCAAAAACUAUUCUGUUUAUAAAAGGGCAAUGAAGCUGGUGAAGGGUCUGGAGACCAGGUCUUAUGAGGAGAGGUUGAGGGGGCUGGGGGGGUUUAGCCUGGAGAAGAGGAGGCUGAGGGGAGCCCUUCUUGCUCUCUGCAACUCCCUGAGAGGGGCUGGAGUGAGGCGGGGGUUGGUUGGUCUCUUCUCCCAAGUCACCGUUGACAGGACAAAAAGUUGGACUUGAUGAUCCUAGAGGUCUUUUCCAACCCUAAUGAUUAUAUGAUUCUAUGAAUAUAAGUUUGUUAAUGGAUUUCUAUUAGUUUAUGAUUUUCUACAGCUGAUUUCUUCUAGGCCUCUUCAAACAAGAAGCUUCCAUUAUAUUUAUUUGGGAUGGAAGUAUGUGAUCACAACUGUUUCAAUCAAUACCAAAGCCAUACAACACACCUUAUCGAGUACCUGUUUUUACAAAGUAUAUCAUACACAGGAAUGUGUGA